RNAcentral lists this transfer RNA (72 nucleotides) under Ictidomys tridecemlineatus (thirteen-lined ground squirrel). RNAcentral describes it as "Spermophilus tridecemlineatus (thirteen-lined ground squirrel) tRNA". It matches the Rfam family "tRNA". Rfam says of the family: Transfer RNA (tRNA) molecules are approximately 80 nucleotides in length. Lineage: Eukaryota; Metazoa; Chordata; Mammalia; Rodentia; Sciuridae. The record is from Rfam by way of RNAcentral.
UGGGUUGUAGCUCAGUGGUAGAGCACUUGCCUAACAUGCGUGUAGCACUGGGUUCAAUCCUUAGCAUCACAU